UGGUACACCCCAGGACGGAGCCACCGGCCAGCCACUGGAUUCCUGGAGGAAAGGCUGCGGAACAUCAUGAAGAGGCUGAGAUCAACCAGCAGAAUGUACCAUAUCAGACGAACAAGCUUAAAGAAUGGUUGAGAAACAAUUCUCAGCCCCUCAGCCAGAUAGAGACCUAUAGUCUACAGGGCCAAGUGGAUUAGGGACAACAAUUGGACUAUCGAUCAGAUCCUCGAAGAGUUCCCUCGCCUAAUGACCAAAGGCAUGAUUGCACAGGACUUUCUUGUCUUGGCUACCCAUUUAUGCUGAGAAGAUCCUGCACAUGGCAAGACGGGAGGGGCAGCUGACAUUGCCCCUGGAUGGAUUAACACCAGAUGGCUUUGGGGAACUCGCCCUGAGGCAGCUGCCAGCCUUGCUUCCACCUACAACUUACAAAGUUGGCCGUGGCUGCGGUGCUAAAGUGGUUUGCCACACCAUUCAGGAGUGCAGCUUGGCCUUCCUCGACCAUAAGCCUCCUGGAAUAAACAUGGUGGAGUACCUCCAUGAGGCCAAGGCAUGCAAACCAUACCCCUACAUCCUGACGCUGGGAAUGAUCAGAGUGCAUUUCAGGCCUUCGUCAUCAUAGCUGGACAGGCCUUGGAACAAGAAGCACUGCUUCAGGCCAUUGAUGUCUGUUUCAAAGCAUUCUUUGUCUUAGACAUUAAAUACCCGAAGCAGUGUGAACAUGUGUGGGAAUUCAUACAGAGUGUAAUCUAUGAAAUGCCAGGAGGGGAGUCCAAAAUGGUAAAGUUUCUUCAAACUAGAAUACUUGCUUGCAAUUCGAGCUAAUGGCCUCAAGGACAGCUUUCUAAUACAGGAAUUUGAAAAAUGUUCACUAUAGACCUGUUGACUGUUGGCCUGUUGAAUGUUC
Dicentrarchus labrax (European seabass) is the source of this 901-nucleotide long non-coding RNA. RefSeq lists it as uncharacterized. NCBI's taxonomy places the organism in Eukaryota, Metazoa, Chordata, Actinopteri, Moronidae. The record is from RefSeq and is a predicted model, not a curated record. The transcript has 5 exons.